Carlito syrichta (Philippine tarsier) is the source of this 139-nucleotide long non-coding RNA. RefSeq lists it as uncharacterized. The record is from RefSeq and is a predicted model, not a curated record. The transcript has 2 exons. Lineage: Eukaryota; Metazoa; Chordata; Mammalia; Primates; Tarsiidae.
UCCCCGCUCCAACCCCGCGCACGCGCACUUUCCCCCAGACCCGGCAGCCCGUCGCUUGGAGUCAAGGCCGCGGCGUGGAUCGAUUGACGUCUAAAGCCUCAUGGUGCAUGAAGAAGCCCAGAAGCGGAGGAGGAGUCAA